Humulus lupulus (European hop) is the source of this 415-nucleotide long non-coding RNA. RefSeq lists it as uncharacterized. Lineage: Eukaryota; Viridiplantae; Streptophyta; Magnoliopsida; Rosales; Cannabaceae. The transcript is spliced from 2 exons. The record is from RefSeq and is a predicted model, not a curated record.
CCCUACCAUCGGGAAAAAGUUGAAAUAAAGAGAAGAAAAAAAUCUCAUUUCAAAAAAGAAAAAAAAAACAAAGAGAAGAAAAAUAUCAAAGCUUUGUUAUUGGCGUAGGAAGAUGAGGACUACGUAGAGAAGGGAGUGAAAAUAUCUUGGCUCCAUGAUACAGGGAAAGAAGCCCCUGUCAAUGGCAGGAGGCAGAAAGUGGAUUUUUGUUGAUGAAGAAAAUGAUGGUGGUUAUUUUUUUGGCUAAGGUGUUGUGGCAUGUAUCAUUUAGAUAGUGGAUUUUUGUUGAUAAAGAAAAUGAUGGUGAUUGUUUUGGCUGAAGUGUUGCCGCAUGUUUCAUUUAGAAAGUGAAUUUUUGAUAGCCGCUUGUGUAACUUGAAUGGUAUUUCAAUGAUAGUGUUUGUGUUAUAGCUGA